RNAcentral lists this ribosomal RNA (508 nucleotides) under uncultured bacterium. RNAcentral describes it as "partial 16S ribosomal RNA". It matches the Rfam family "Bacterial small subunit ribosomal RNA", at positions 30 to 523 of the family's 1533-position model. The record is from RNAcentral.
AUUGAACGCUGGCGGCAUGCCUUACACAUGCAAGUCGAACGGCAGCGGGGGAGAAGCUUGCUUUUCCUGCCGGCGAGUGGCGAACGGGUGAGUAAUACAUCGGAACGUGCCCUGUAGUGGGGGAUAACUAGUCGAAAGAUUAGCUAAUACCGCAUACGACCUGAGGGUGAAAGUGGGGGACCGCAAGGCCUCAUGCUAUAGGAGCGGCCGAUGUCUGAUUAGCUAGUUGGUGGGGUAAAGGCCUACCAAGGCGACGAUCAGUAGCUGGUCUGAGAGGACGAUCAGCCACACUGGUACGGAUACACGGCCGAGACUGCUACGGGAGGCAGCAGUGGGGAAUUUUGGACAAUGGGCGAAAGCCUGAUCCAGGAAUGCCGCGUGUGUGAAGAAGGCCUUCGGGUUGUAAAGCACUUUUGUCCGGAAAGAAAUGGCUCUGGUUAAUACCUGGGGUCGAUGACGGUACCGGAAGAAUAAGGACCGGCUAACUACGUGCCAGCCGCCGCCGUAA